CCAUAGCCCCGAUUGCAGCGGCAUCCUUUUUUGUCUUUCUGCUAAAGUUCUUUUUUUGACAUAAUGUCGAAGACAAAAAAGAUAUAGCGGAAAGCGGGAUUAAGC
This 105-nucleotide small RNA is filed under the name Epilithonimonas xixisoli. RNAcentral describes it as "Chryseobacterium xixisoli Flavo-1 RNA". It matches the Rfam family "Flavo-1 RNA". Lineage: Bacteria; Pseudomonadati; Bacteroidota; Flavobacteriia; Flavobacteriales; Weeksellaceae. The record is from RNAcentral.